This is an RNA transcript of Mus musculus (house mouse), 1511 nucleotides long. It is a transcript of the gene named ferritin heavy polypeptide 1, with no coding region annotated. Lineage: Eukaryota; Metazoa; Chordata; Mammalia; Rodentia; Muridae. The transcript is spliced from 5 exons. The record is from RefSeq and is marked validated.
GAUGAUAUGAUAGCUAUCUCCAGCCAACCUUCCCUCCCGACCUUUGUUUUCUUCAGGGUUUACAAGCUAGUCCACUGGCUCCAUAUGAACCUCAGAAUCACGACCUGCCAAAGAGACACUGUAUUUUCACAUCUCUGACUCUGUUGAGUUACAGGGUUAGAGCUGACAUUUGUAGUAUGGAAGAUGACCGACCCUUCAGGAAGAUAGCACCUCCUUUCCCCAAUACUUGCUUGGCUUUGUUUCGUGGUAUUGGUGAUCUUAUUACUUGCUACUUGAGUCUCUGCUGCUAAGAGUUUAGGGAUAUCCUGUGAGAAUUGAAAAUCAUCCUCAUCGGUACCCUCUGUGCCCAUCUGGGACCCAGAUGCCUCUGCAGUACGGCUAGAUCCAACUACGCCCGCCCCGGGCCACAGAAACAGCGCGCUUGUUGCCAGGCACCGCUCUUGCAGAAGCUCAGAGCCCCUUGCGUCGCCUCACACUCACACAGGCUCCUCCCCGCCCGCGCCCUGCGGGUUUGGGCAACACGCCCACAGGAAGAGGCGGGGCGGCGCGGCCCGCUGCGCUGAUUGGCCAGCGCUCGCCUGACGCAGGAUCCCGCUAUAAGUGCGGCCCGCUGUCCCCUCCUGCGCCAGACGUUCUCGCCCAGAGUCGCCGCGGUUUCCUGCUUCAACAGUGCUUGAACGGAACCCGGUGCUCGACCCCUCCGACCCCCGCCGGCCGCUUCGAGCCUGAGCCCUUUGCAACUUCGUCGUUCCGCCGCUCCAGCGUCGCCACCGCGCCUCGCCCCGCCGCCACCAUGACCACCGCGUCUCCCUCGCAAGUGCGCCAGAACUACCACCAGGACGCGGAGGCUGCCAUCAACCGCCAGAUCAACCUGGAGUUGUAUGCCUCCUACGUCUAUCUGUCUAUGUCUUGUUAUUUUGACCGAGAUGAUGUGGCUCUGAAGAACUUUGCCAAAUACUUUCUCCACCAAUCUCAUGAGGAGAGGGAGCAUGCCGAGAAACUGAUGAAGCUGCAGAACCAGCGAGGUGGCCGAAUCUUCCUGCAGGAUAUAAAGAAACCAGACCGUGAUGACUGGGAGAGCGGGCUGAAUGCAAUGGAGUGUGCACUGCACUUGGAAAAGAGUGUGAAUCAGUCACUACUGGAACUGCACAAACUGGCUACUGACAAGAAUGAUCCCCACUUAUGUGACUUCAUUGAGACGUAUUAUCUGAGUGAACAGGUGAAAUCCAUUAAAGAACUGGGUGACCACGUGACCAACUUACGCAAGAUGGGUGCCCCUGAAGCUGGCAUGGCAGAAUAUCUCUUUGACAAGCACACCCUGGGACACGGUGAUGAGAGCUAAGCUGACUUCCCCAAAGCCACGUGACUUUACUGGUCACUGAGGCAGUGCAUGCAUGUCAGGCUGCCUUCAUCUUUUCUAUAAGUUGCACCAAAACAUCUGCUUAAGUUCUUUAAUUUGUACCAUUUCUUCAAAUAAAGAAUUUUGGUACCCAGCUUCUUUUCUUUGUGAU